Long non-coding RNA from Bactrocera dorsalis (oriental fruit fly), 303 nucleotides. RefSeq lists it as uncharacterized. The transcript is spliced from 2 exons. The record is from RefSeq and is a predicted model, not a curated record. Lineage: Eukaryota; Metazoa; Arthropoda; Insecta; Diptera; Tephritidae.
GUGAAAAGUGCAUAAUAUUAUAUUAAGAUUCAAACCGGUUGGGUUUAUCUAUCUAUCUACUGGUUGGGUUUCAAUAGAUGUCGUUGCAGUCGUAUAUCUCCAGCGCUACCAAUUGUGUCAUACCAUAUAGUGUUGGAAAGGGAAGAAUGCCACGGAAGUGCCCAAUGGAAUUUGUAAAGUUUACGGAGACGAUGCUGUAUUAGCUCGGGUAGCACAACAAUGGUUCUCUCGCUUCCGUUCUGGAAAUUUCGAUGUGAAGGAUGCACCUCGCUGGUCGACCUAUCGUUGAAAAAGUAGAUGAAA